CGUGUGCUUACAAGUAGUCAGAGCCCGUUAAUGGGUGAUGGCGUGCCUUUUGUAGAAUGAACCGGCGAGUUACGAUUUGAUGCAAGGUUAAGCAGUAAAUGUGGAGCCGUAGCGAAAGCGAGUCUGAAUAGGGCGUUUAGUAUUUGGUCGUAGACCCGAAACCAGGUGAUCUACCCUUGGUCAGGUUGAAGUUCAGGUAACACUGAAUGGAGGACCGAACCGACUUACGUUGAAAAGUGAGCGGAUGAACUGAGGGUAGCGGAGAAAUUCCAAUCGAACCUGGAGAUAGCUGGU
Molecule: ribosomal RNA, 294 nt
Filed under: Staphylococcus aureus
Lineage: Bacteria; Bacillati; Bacillota; Bacilli; Caryophanales; Staphylococcaceae
Description: partial 23S ribosomal RNA
Rfam family: Bacterial large subunit ribosomal RNA
Source: RNAcentral